UAGACCAAGAUGAGAUACGAUCUCCUAGU
Molecule: small RNA, 29 nt
Filed under: Bombyx mori (domestic silkworm)
Lineage: Eukaryota; Metazoa; Arthropoda; Insecta; Lepidoptera; Bombycidae
Description: piRNA piR-bmo-2216192
Source: RNAcentral